This 30-nucleotide non-coding RNA is filed under the name Mus musculus (house mouse). The record is from RNAcentral. Lineage: Eukaryota; Metazoa; Chordata; Mammalia; Rodentia; Muridae.
UGUCAUUUCAGGAACGAGGCUAUGUGACUC